GAAUAAGUUAAUAAUGAGCGGAGAAAAAUAAUUGUAAAAAAUAAUAUUACAAAAACAAAAUAUAACUAUAAAAAUAAGUAAAGUCAAUUACAGAAAUGAAUAAAAAAAAUUUCUGUGCCGACAUACAAGAACAAAAUUAUAUAAUAAUCAUUCCAAUACUUUCGAACAAAAUAAAUAAAUUUAUAUAAUUAAAAUUCAAACAAUAUAUAAUGAAUUUGCUGCAAUUCAGUGGUUUUUGUAUUUAUUUUCCCUACUUUUCUCUAUUCUUACACUGUAAGAAUUAAUAUAUUAUUAUUGUUCAUUUGUAAAGUAUUUUCAUUUUUCCAUUUUAUCCUUCAAUCCUAUUUUAAUUUUUCAACUUAAUUAAUAUAUCACUACUACUACAAAAUUAAUUUUGUAAAUAAUCUAAUAAAUUUUUUUACGUGUUUUAGAAAAUUUCCUGAUAAACUUUUAAAUUAUUUUUAGUGUAAAAGGGGACAUCAUUUAAAAAAUUAAAAAUUUCGAUAACAAGCUAACUUUAAAAAUUCAUCGAAGAUUGUUCGGUAGUCAAAUCCAUAAAUGUUUUAUAUUCUCUCAAACUUCAUUUCGAAAAUUAUAUCAUAGACACAUCGAAUGAUUUAAAUGAAUAUCGAAAAUAGUUAAACGUAUAUCAAACGUGUGUGUUAAAAAAUGCGUAUAACUCAUUUUUUCUUAAAAAAUCAAUUAUUUUCUUAAUGUUUAUUAUUUUCACGAGAUAAUUUUCUUAAUACAGUUUACAUCAUUUUUUUUAUAAAAAAUGUAUGAAGUCAUUUUUUUUUUUAACGUAGGAUAAAUAUUUAGAAUAAUAGAAAGUAAGAGAAUAACAGAAAGUAAGAGAAUAACUAUAAUUGGCGAUUUGGAAGGGAAAACAACGAAUUUUGGCCUCGAAAACGAUGCCCACCCAACGAAAGCGUGGAGUGUUGGCUCCGCACAGCACGAGCGCAACACUGCGCACAGUGUGGAGUGCUAAAAGUUUAGUUUUUUUUGGACGUAUUUUUGGUAAUUUGGCCAUAACUUUUGCUACGAUUAUCAGAAUUGCGCCCAUGACAGGACGUGUGCAUCGAAAAGAGCUUUCCGAAUUGGGGUCAUGGGCGCGAUUCUGAUAACCGUAGCAAAAGUUAUAGCCAAAUUACCAAAAAUACGUAAAAAAAAAAAAAAUUUGAGCACUCCGCGCUGCACAGAGUCACACUAUCCGCACAGCGCGAACUGCUUUCAACAAAAUAUCACAUUAAUAAUCCAUCUAUUAUUCUGUACACAAAAAUAAAUUAUUCAGAAUAAUGUUAACCUAAAAAAUAUUUUGAAAAAAAAAAAAAUGAACAAGUCAACAUGGCUAUCUUAGAACUAACAUACUGUAAAACUUGUUACUUGAACACUGCAAGAUUGAGUUUAAACUGGCAAAAAACUUUAAUAGUGAUCUAUAAAAACCUUUUUGCAUUUUGCAUGAUUUUCCUAAUGUAAUUGUAUUGGUAAACUACAUAUUCUCUAUACGAUAAAUAUAUUAGAAAUCUAUUUUCAUUGGAAAGAAGAUUACCUUUUCUGGUGGUUAAACUUUGUUCGCUUUUGAAAACUUUGAAAAUUGAACAAAAAU
Molecule: long non-coding RNA, 1606 nt
Filed under: Olea europaea subsp. europaea
Lineage: Eukaryota; Viridiplantae; Streptophyta; Magnoliopsida; Lamiales; Oleaceae
Source: RNAcentral